UACUGUUGUUCACAAAUUCUCUCUCUGACUUAAGUAUCGGAGGGUUCCCCUCCGGAUAUAAUUUCUGUUUGUGAGGAUGCUAUUUUACAGGUACUCUUCACCGGCAAUAAGCAACAGAAAAUUGGCCACAAUAGCUUGGCGCACCAAGUAGGAGGCAGUAAUCUGCAAUCAAUCAUGCCGAAAAUCAGAGCCUAACUUUCUACUGAUUUUGCGAGGCACUCUUCCUGUCGGAAAGAUCUUCCUCCCCUACCUCCGGUAGCAGAGCCUAGUUCCUCGCGUCCUGUGGUCACCACGGACGCCC
Molecule: long non-coding RNA, 301 nt
Filed under: Elaeis guineensis (African oil palm)
Lineage: Eukaryota; Viridiplantae; Streptophyta; Magnoliopsida; Arecales; Arecaceae
Description: long non-coding RNA (EGUI_LNC010859)
Source: RNAcentral